UGGGGAAUAUUGGACAAUGGGCGAAAGCCUGAUCCAGCAAUGCCGCGUGAGUGAUGAAGGCCCUAGGGUUGUAAAGCUCUUUUACCCGGGAUGAUAAUGACAGUACCGGGAGAAUAAGCUCCGGCUAACUUCGUGCCAGCAGCCGCGGUAAUACGAGGGGAGCUAGCGUUGUUCGGAAUUACUGGGCGUAAAGCGCGCGUAGGCGGUUUUUUAAGUCAGAGGUGAAAGCCCGGGGCUCAACCCCGGAAUA
This 250-nucleotide ribosomal RNA is filed under the name uncultured bacterium. RNAcentral describes it as "partial 16S ribosomal RNA". It matches the Rfam family "Bacterial small subunit ribosomal RNA", at positions 355 to 622 of the family's 1533-position model. The record is from RNAcentral.